GGGCUGCCCGCAGCUGGGCGGUGGCGAGAGUGAGGUUGUGCUGAGGGCUCGGUAGGGGUUCCGGGUGCGUGGACGGGGAGAACGGUGCCCCGCAGAGUUCGACAGCGGGAAGGCUGCUUCUCACGGCAUGCUGGGAGCUGUAGUCGUGGGGUAGGGGGCUGCCGGCCUGCGAUGUUGUUCCCCGGAGCUUACCGGGAGGCGUAGUGUUCCGGCACUCGGUGGUCGGCUAGCCAUGCUGUGCGUGUGCCACUGCAUGUUGGGAGCUGUAGUUCUUUGCAGACUCGGGUUCUAGAAGCCGUGUUUAUUUCGGGCGCGUGUGUGUGGUGCAGUUUUUGCUAUUGGUGCAGCCCCCGCGGCGGGGCACGAGGUGUGUUUUUAUUGCUGGGUUCGUGUGGAUUUCUGGGGGCUUGCAGGUGUGGCCAUUCCUUUAUAAUUGGUGAGUUACUCAAGAGCUGAUAGAAGGGAAGAGGGAAAGGAGGAGCAGUCGUUCUACCUCUGCCCAGGACACUGAUGGUGGCCGCCUCCCCGGCUCACCAGAGCUCCCCCUGAGCCUCCCCUGGCCCCCCUUGCCCCGUGCGCCUGCCCCCAGCCCCGGCACCUCCCCUGAAGCGUGCUGCGUAGCCCUUGGCCGCCCCCAGGCCCUGUCGUGAAGGCAGCGAGCCGGCCCUCGAGCGCACUGGAUUCCCCCUCGGCGCAGGGGCCCUUAGCAGUAGCGCGGGGAAGGGGCGGUGUGUCCAGAAGCCCCUGCGCAAGGAGGGGCUUUGGCCAGGGUCGAUCGACGGUAAUGACGGUCGCUGUUUCUUCUUUCCCUCUCCCAGAGACCGUGCUGAGGACGUGGUUGUCUGUCCUUCCCCCGGGGAUGCCGUUGACUGCGGCCGUCUCAGGCUUGCGUGGCUUCUCUCUGCCCGGCGUUGCCAUCCUCGCAGCGCGGGGGCGAAAAGGGACACACAGAGCCCUUCCCGGCUGUGGACAGGAGCUGCCUCGGCUGAAGCUGGAGACGCCAACGAAAGGCGGAGGACAGCCAAGUGACUGGUGUUGCAGAAGAGGAAGCGGGGGAGGAGAGAAGGGAAGAGAAGCAUUUGAACCGCUAAAUUCUCCUAGUGGCACUGAGAGCGAGAGUCGCGGUUUUCCUGUGAUGGGAGCGGCAGAGCAAGGAGCAGAGCGUUGGGGCAUCCGUGGAGGGAGCAUCGGGCACCCUCCUGUGUUUGCAGGGUGACCCUGAGGAAGCGUUAUCUGUGGGUCAGUUGUGUGACUAUAUUUUGUGGGUGUGCUAAUCUCUUUCAGAGUAUGUCUAAGGGUAAGGAUAUCGUUGUGUUCAGUGUAAAUUUUGUUCCAUUUGGUGUAUUUGUCAGAGAUGCAAGUUUAGUGUGGGGGGAAGCCAGCUCUCUGACUGCAUUGAGGAUAAGGUGGGCUAUACGUGUUUGUAGGUCGUAUCUUACCUGUGAGAUGUUUUGAAGUAGUUGUCUCUGGUUUUCUUAGCGACUCACAAAGGGGUUUGGGGCUCCCCGGUGGCGGGUGCUUUGGCCAAAAGAAAAAGCAGGGUCGUAGUGAAGCGUUCCAUUUACAGGGCUGGCCUCAGCCAUCUCCUGCACAAACUUCUGUUAUGUAGCGAUCGGGAUUCGAUUUCCUGAAGGAGGAGAGGAUGAUGGAGCUUGUUAUAAGAGCAUAACAAUUUUGUCUUGCCCCUGCAUCGCCUUUGGCUUUUCCUCGUUGAGCUUGUAUUUUGGUGAGAAGCGUCUCUCGUUAGGCAUUUGGGUCUGAGGGGUGUCCAUGAGGCUACCUGGUGGCCAUCCCCCUGAGAUUUUGUGACCAUCAAGUGAUAUUCAGCAUCCAUCUUAUGCCCAUCUCCUGUAACUACUCUGCAGUUUUCGCUUAAGGCUUGAUAGCGCAGCGUUAGCUGAGGGCGGCAUUUCCCGCGCUGGCCCCGCCACGCCGACGGCGUUUCCCCUGCCGGCCGCUGUCCGUUCCCUGUAACUGUGACUCUUGUCCUGUCAGAGCCUUUGCCGAAGCCACCUUUGUGCUCCACAGCAGUCUGUUUUCUGUCUCGAGUAUGUUUCUUUUCGGUAUCGGAUACCCCAAAGCUGCGUACCGUUGGCUCAGGUCUCUUCUUGAGCUUCUGUGAGAAGAGAGAGCCUUCAUCUGUGUUUAUCGAUGCGUCUCCUGGGGUGUUUUUUUGUUGUCCUUUGCAAUUUAGUUUUGUCCCAGCUGCUUCGUACGGUUCCUGAUAUGCUUGUGUAUUUCCAGGUUUCUUUUCAUGUUUUUUGUCCUUUGAGACUGAUCAAGUUCCAUUAAGGGACUGAGCGAGAGAGAGCGUUGAGGUGACUCUGAAUGGUUGAUGAUUUUAUAGUAAAUGAUUUACUUUACAACCAGAGAUAUUUUUGAGAAGGGGUUCUUAAAAGAUUUGAAUCUGCUGGGACAUUCAGUCUUACCCAGAAUGUAGUUCUCAGAGAUGUUCGGUAGCGUGGGCGGUCUUGCUAGAAAUUAAGAAUCACCCCAUAGCAUUUUGAGUUUAUUGUAACUGGGAAGUAAAGCCCGUAGUUUUUGAUAAUAAUACUGUUAUUGCAUUUAAUGAGCUGCUUUCCUACAUAGUUUAAUAUGACAUCUAUCUUUGUCUCUCUGUGUGCCAGAAAAAAUGAAGUUUAAAUCUCUACGUCGUCACGUUGCUGAUGCAAAAGAUGUAGUUGUAGCAGAAGAGCUGGUAUUGUCGUAUCCAGGAAGGCUUUCUGUGUGUGUUCGGCACUUGGCAUGCUGUAAAGGUCAGGCAGUUGAGAAAACUCCGUGCUCUUCCUAUUCGGGCCACCUUUACACCCUGUGUGGGCUUGGCCUGCCCCUUUCCAGGGGUUUGUGGGAAGGGUGGGGCAGGGCGAGGGGUAGAUGAGCCCCAGCCUUUUUUCAGGAGGCUCAUUCUGCAACCUGGGCUUCUCUGGUACUGUUCCUUGAGUUGGUUGCAGCUUUUCAGCUGUAUAAGCUCUUUGGUAGGUGUGUUUUGACAUUUAGGGAGGGGGAGGUUUCUGGUUAAGGUAAGAGAUUAAGGAGCAGUCAGGGUUGAGCAGCAUAUAUAUUAGAAAGGACACUUGUGUGCAGCUUUUUUUUUUUCCUCGGGUCAGUAACUUUGUGUUGGGUGUUCAGGAGUAGCAAGGUGGUUUAAUAGUGUGUUUUCAUUGUUUGAUCGAUGUUGGUUUUGGUUGUUUCUGUUUGUUUUAUUAUCCAGGACUUUACUGAAGGUAGAAGUGUACAACGGUGUACAACAUCUGUGUGCCUCUCUGUAUUUUCCUGGAAGUGGGCCCUGGAUUCAAGGUGACGGCUCCGGAGCCAUCGAAGACGGACUGAGUACACGCGCAGGCGCCUGAUGCAUCCACUGACCCGGGAGGCACGUAGUGGGAGAUGCACAGUAGGGAGCCGGAUGCGGAAGAGAGGAGGCGAACAGAACAUCAUGAGAAGUUAGGCGCCAUAAGAGGAGGUGGCCACCGCAUCCAGGCUUACUAGAGUGGAGCCAGUGGAAGUUCACGGCGCUUCCGAGAAGGGUGUAGUUGCAGAAGAAGUCAGCAUUGAGUGUUGUGACACUGACUGAUGGAGCUCUGUGUUCGGAGAUGAUGAAGAGGAUCUGUGUGAUUACAGCAGCAUAUUAGGUAGCCUAUGUGUUAUUUUCUAAAGGCCUCUUUCUGAGCAUCUGCCACGCAGAGCGGCUCCAGCUUGUGUCUGUGUUGUGUGGAUUUUGUAAACUGUCGUCAUCCUGUACCACACUUAGGUCUCGAUGUCUCUAUCGUUGUCUGUGCUCAGCACGUGCACAGGUAGCAAUAUUGAGGGUUUCAUGAGCCUCAGCUUGUCGGCGUAAUGGUAACUGAGAGUUUCCUUUCUCGAAUUGUAAGUCUAAUGUGCAGAUCUGUCUUGCGUAUCUCAAAUAUUAGAACCUCGCAGGUGGUCAUCUUUUUGCGGCGGUGAUUUAGGCGGCCUCAGUACUGCUGCUGAAGAGCAGUCUGCUUACCCGGAGCCCUUUUCUGGGACCUGUUCCCUGCACCUUAACGUUCUGAGGUCUUUAAGAGUGGCUUGUCGCUCGUGCAUCGUCCUAGUUGUGGGUAUAUGGCUUUAUCACAGGUGGUGGUGUGUGACUUCUCUGCGGGUGCUAUAGCUUCUUCCUCGCUGCCGUAUAGAUCUUCUCGCCUGGUGGCAUCUCUGGGCAGGAAGUCCUUCGUCUUGGUGAGAAUUUUCUUAGGUCUCUCGAUCACGUCGCUUGUAGUAUUUGUGAGCAGUGUUGGUCCGUGCACGUCGAUGCCUGUGUCAGAGCUGCUCUGCCUGGGGGUGUAGCAAUGGUAGAGCGGGGGAAAGAAUAACAGUAAGAAUAUAUGGUUAAUGUUAAUAUGCAUAGACUGUUUUGGGAACGCCCGUGCAACCUUUGUCGGAGCAAGUGGCUGUUGGCAGCGGACAAGGACGAUAAUUUCCGGGGCGUUUUGUGGGUGCCGAGGGGAUGACCGUAGCCGUCUGGGAGAGGCAGCUAGAGUGCUAGCUGAGCAGAGUGCACCUCACAGCUGUUCAAGGUUGUAUGUGCGUGGGGCUUAAAGUUUGAUUGAAGGUAUUUCCUUUAACGGCAGGAAAUAGUUGGGCUCUAGAUGGUAUUCCUACGUGGAAGCAAGACCUGUGGAAUGGUUAAGCCGUUGCUGUGCCUCCAGGUGACUUGUUCUGUCAUGCUGUUCUUGCAGAGGAUGAAGAUGGAGCUGUGCAGGGUGAUAGAGCAGAGCUGAGUAGAGCACAACUAAGGUGGCGGGUCCGUGUGCAGGAUUAAAGGGAAGAUGCGACUGAAGGCUAUUUGAAGAGCAUUUCAGGUGAGCUGGGUCACAGCGAGGAGGCGCAUGGGGCUGGUGAUUUCUUCCAAGGAGAGCGGUGAUUUUGUGUCUUCUGGUAUCUCUAGGGACUGCAAGUGAUGAUGACUGUCUUAGUCUGGAAGGGGCACGGAGCAGGUGAGGGGAGUGCCAGGUGGCAUCUGUGAUGAUGGAUGUUGCAGAAAAGGUCUGUGUUGACUGAUGCGAUGCUAACUGGUAAGACUGUUCUCUGUGGGUUGUGUGUUGGUUUGGGGUUUUUUUCAGGUAAUGAAUAGGCAUCUGUCAACUGCAGGAUGGAUCUAGUGGGCUGGUGGUGCUCUUCCUUGUUGAGGAUGGACUGAGCUUCUAGCUCUCUGAAAACUAAGUUGAAGCAGUGGUCGUGGAGGAGGGGUCAGGGGAGUAGAGGGCACAAGCUUGGUUGUCGCAGGAAGCGGUUAACCUUUGGGGAGGUUAAAAGGUAGGAUUCGUCUUCAGCGUGAUGCUAGGUUGCGGAGGGCUGGGCAGUUCAGGCCGUGUGUGGUGCUGUGUACUUUGUGUGGUCUGUGUUCCGUGUCUUAGACCUUCCUAAGGUUUUUAUGUUCUUUUUGCUCCUGGGAGCAGCAAGACUCGUGCCUCAGGAACCAUCUUUAGGGCCUGGCUAGGCUCUAAUUGUUGGCCCUGCGCCCAUCGGGCACUUCUUUCUUCACCUUAUGAGUUUCAAGCGUGGAUCUUUUUGGAGCCUCAGAAGUUUCUGGGCGGUCAUCUUGUGCAGUGUCAUUCCAAGGUGCACAAGGAUAUCUGCUUAUGAGCUGUCCAUUUUCAGGGAGCAGUCGGGGGAGGGUGGGGACGCAGUCGGCCGUGGGAGGAAGGGGUUUUA
Non-coding RNA from Phalacrocorax carbo (great cormorant), 5673 nucleotides. The record is from RefSeq and is a predicted model, not a curated record. Lineage: Eukaryota; Metazoa; Chordata; Aves; Suliformes; Phalacrocoracidae.